This is a long non-coding RNA of Zingiber officinale, 957 nucleotides long. RefSeq lists it as uncharacterized. Lineage: Eukaryota; Viridiplantae; Streptophyta; Magnoliopsida; Zingiberales; Zingiberaceae. The transcript has 3 exons. The record is from RefSeq and is a predicted model, not a curated record.
CCGAUGACUCGUACCUGUUCAACUCAUCGCCCAAAUGGGCUGACCGACCCGAGCCGCAUGAUGGCCAGUCGCAGGCGUUCGCAUCCACCCGCCAGGUGGCGCCGCCACGUAAUGUAUAUCGGCUCUCUACUUCAUCCGUCCGCCUUCGCCGCACCUUGUGCUGAUCUCUCUGCCUCUUCCUUCCUCCAGACACUCAUCUUUGGAUUGAAUCUUGAUCUCCCUUUCUCUGCCGGACGAUCUCGUGGCCCGUCGAUAAGGUCUGGAGCUAUUCCGCGCGGAUCACUUUAACUUCCAUUUUCUCCGCAUUUUUGCUGCUCUCGUUCGAGGCAUUUUUUAGAACUCGAGUUGUUUCUCAGUCUUCACAAUGCAGCGAUCGUUAUAAGGAUACCUAGGAUACGGUUGCAGGGUUAUGCCAGUAGAACGACUGCUGGAUGGAUUGCUCUUGGGUUUUUUGACGGAAUGUUUGGUAUGAGUUGUCCAGGUUUUAAUCGACUUGCUACGAUGAGUUCCGGAAGGGCUAAAGGGAUCUUCGAUGGGUCGCCGAUUCCUGCUGAUACAGAGUACUUGAAAUUGGGUCUUUCCAGGAUUGAUGAAAGUUGAGCUGUGAGCCGUUUAGAUUCAUUGCCACAUGUUGUCCACAUGUUGACAUCAAAAGAUCAUGAAGGUGAAGUUCAGUUCUUGAAGGAACAGAGAGAUCUUGUUGAGGAUGUUGUGGAUGAAGUUGUUCACGUUUAUCAUCAUGGGUUUAAUAAAGCAAUUCAAUACUUCUCUCAAGAUUCUGCGGUUGUUUAGUGAAUCUGCGGAGAGUAUUUCUGUUGAUAUGGCUGAUGCAAAGAAACUUCUUGGCUCUCACAAUAAGCAACUGCAUCAAUUAUGGUACCACUCUCUUAGUUUGCGCCAUGCACUAGCUUUGUUGAAUCAAAUUGAGAGUGUAUCUAAGGUAUGUUAACCCCAUGA